AACGAACGCUGGCGGCAUGCCUAACACAUGCAAGUCGAACGAGUAUCUUCGGGUGCUAGUGGCGCACGGGUGAGUAACGCGUGGGAACCUGCCUUUCGGUACGGGAUAACGUCGGGAAACUGACGCUAAUACCGUAUAUGUCUUUGGAUGAAAGAUUUAUCGCCGGAAGAGGGGCCCGCGUCUGAUUAGGUAGUUGGUGAGGUAACGGCUCACCAAGCCUUCGAUCAGUAGCUGGUCUGAGAGGAUGAUCAGCCACACUGGGACUGAGACACGGCCCAGACUCCUACGGGAGGCAGCAGUGGGGAAUAUUGGACAAUGGGCGCAAGCCUGAUCCAGCAAUGCCGCGUGAGUGAUGAAGGCCUUCAGGUUGUAAAGCUCUUUUGCCUGCGACGAUGAUGACGGUAGCAGGAGAAUAAGCCCCGGCUAACUUCGUGCCAGCCGCCGCGGUAA
RNAcentral lists this ribosomal RNA (450 nucleotides) under uncultured bacterium. RNAcentral describes it as "partial 16S ribosomal RNA". It matches the Rfam family "Bacterial small subunit ribosomal RNA", at positions 29 to 523 of the family's 1533-position model. The record is from RNAcentral.